GCCACGGUGGUCUAGCGGUCAGAACACUAGCCUUGUAAGCCUCGGGUCCCGGGUUCAAUUCCCGGUGGUGCUC
Molecule: transfer RNA, 73 nt
Filed under: Zootermopsis nevadensis
Lineage: Eukaryota; Metazoa; Arthropoda; Insecta; Blattodea; Termopsidae
Rfam family: tRNA
About the family: Transfer RNA (tRNA) molecules are approximately 80 nucleotides in length. Their secondary structure includes four short double-helical elements and three loops (D, anti-codon, and T loops).
Source: Rfam by way of RNAcentral